RNAcentral lists this long non-coding RNA (1232 nucleotides) under Selaginella moellendorffii. Its description in RNAcentral is "long non-coding RNA (SMOE_LNC000906)". The record is from RNAcentral. Lineage: Eukaryota; Viridiplantae; Streptophyta; Lycopodiopsida; Selaginellales; Selaginellaceae.
UUGUCACCAUGGUUUGGCACGAUUGGCCACUAUUACUUUGUUGAUUUGGUGCUCAUUCAUGUGCUUCUUACCACCAUUUGCUCUUACCCUGGCAAAACAAAAGUUAAGACUGAUCAUAAGUGAGUUUCAACAAAAUGUUACCUCCAAUGUCAUCUCGACUGCCAGCUCCUCUAGGAAGCUAGGAUUUCAUUCUCUUAACGUCAGAUACACCAAAUCCAUAUAAAUGCUCAAGCUCAAGCUAAUUUCAAAGCACGCAUGCAAAACUUACAGUACAAAGGUUGGAGAGAAUGUUUGGCUUAACGGCCAGUCACUUUGGUAGCUGCUUCAAUGAAUCGCCUUUGAGGCAUAUGAACUCCACUAUGAACGGAAUUAUUUUGAUUUCUCUGGGUGCUUUCUUGUUGCUAGCACUGCAUUUAUGCACACCAUUAAGUUACUACUCUGAUUUGCUGUUCGAAUUCAAAGACAGAGUACCUUCGAUGUCGUCCCCCAACGCAAACAAGCGUUCGUCUUUCAACGAGUCUACAAGCAUCUUCUUCAAGCGUUUCUCUGAGUAUGGCAAACAGGAAUGUCACAACGUAAGUACUACCGCUGCUCUCUUCUUUGGGCUCCCUAGAGCAGAGAAUGGAGGCGAAAUUACCUUGUCCACUGAUGUUCUUCACAAGAUUUGGAUCGUCUCAUAUGCUGCUAGCGGAAACAGGAGAUGCUUUGGAGGAGACUUCUACGAGACGGAUCUCUCCAGUUAAGUUUGUUCUGAAAGUUUUUGUUCUCACGAAUUUUCUAUCAUCUGUAGGUCCUCAAUGGAAAUCAAGGCCACCAAUCACAGAUGUCGGAGAUGGCUCUUACCUCGUCGAGCUGAAAGUGGAUGAGGAAUUCGCUGGAAACUACACCUUCAAGGUUAUCCUUCUAUACUCCAACUUUCGUGGACUGGAGCAUCAGCCGGGUCCAUGGGCCCUUACGAAAGAGAUGCUAACCGUCCAAAUCCGUUUUACUACCAGCCGAAAAAGAAAUCCUCAUCUUGCAACCUGCACCAGCCACGACUUCGUGUCAGCAACAACAUGGUCAGGCAAAUGGACUAGAACAAAAUUCAACGAGUCCUGUCAGCUCGACAAGGAAGGACGUUACCGUUGCUUGGGAGAACAUGAGGAGUGCGAUGACAGCCAAUGCAUUGGCAACCUUGAGAGCUUGGAGAGCAACGGAUGGGUGUAUUCAGCUCACUGUAAGUUCCGCAUCUG